RNAcentral lists this ribosomal RNA (300 nucleotides) under Triticum aestivum (bread wheat). RNAcentral's name for it is "partial small subunit ribosomal RNA". The record is from RNAcentral. Lineage: Eukaryota; Viridiplantae; Streptophyta; Magnoliopsida; Poales; Poaceae.
AUGGCAGAAUACUUUGCUUAUUAUUCUCUUCAAUUAUUUCUAGAUUACAACGAUGCCAAUGUUCAGGAGUUAAUCUACUGCAAAAAAAAUGACACACCAUUGUCAAGUUGGAAGGAAUUCUGCCUGCUGUAUCUAUUUGUUUUUCUGCUUCUGGCAUAUCCACCGACUCUGUUAACACCAAACAAAGUAACAAACUUGACAAAACUGAAACUCAUCUCCCAGAUUUCUCUAUGCACCGCCAUAGAUUCCGAUUUGUCCAUUGUCUUUAUAACUUACAUUUUGUAUGUAUCUGAAAGCUAA